CUGGGUUCAAUACCUGGGCAUGUUGUUCUUUGUAUUUUUAGCAUUUUUUGUGACUCUCUCAUAUUUCUCUUAAUCCUCACAUUUAAUUACUACUUAAUUAAUAUGUUUCUUUUGUUUAUUCAUUUUUAUUUUUAAUAUAACUUAAUUGAUUUUUUCUUUCUUUGGGAUUUAUGUAAAAUAUAAUUUUUUAGGUGAGGUGUGUUUAAAUCAUGAUAAGUCAUCUUAAUGGCUUUGAUAAAAAGAAAAACCAUUCAAAAAAAUAAUAAUGAUAAAUAUCACAU
RNAcentral lists this long non-coding RNA (281 nucleotides) under Lathyrus oleraceus (garden pea). RNAcentral describes it as "Pisum sativum (pea) long non-coding RNA (PSAT_LNC008887)". Lineage: Eukaryota; Viridiplantae; Streptophyta; Magnoliopsida; Fabales; Fabaceae. The record is from RNAcentral.